This is a long non-coding RNA of Hyaena hyaena (striped hyena), 729 nucleotides long. RefSeq lists it as uncharacterized. NCBI's taxonomy places the organism in Eukaryota, Metazoa, Chordata, Mammalia, Carnivora, Hyaenidae. The transcript has 5 exons. The record is from RefSeq and is a predicted model, not a curated record.
AGCUCAGGCAGGUCAAAGAAGCUGUCCCAGGAAAGGAGGUCCACGAAGGAUGCUCACAAUGUCAGCUGGUGAAGAGAGCCCACAGGAAGAAUAGGGCUGCAAACAAGAGGCAUGAUUCGGGAAAGGCCUAAUGCACACAUACAGAGUCCCUGCUCAGUGGCACGCACUGUGGCUUCUAGGAGGAUGAAGUCCACACACUUGAGAACUCACUGAUCACAGGGAAAACUUCCAGGAAUGACGGGCCAGAGGUGAGGGUCAGGGGAAGGCCUUUUGGAAGCAGUCCUGCUCCUGUGAUUCAUGACUCUGGGAAAAAAGCAGAAGUGGAUUCCUGCAAAUUUGCAGAGUCAGUUCUCAGCACAGCAGUUGGAGUGAUCUUAUUGAAGGGAACUAAAGGGAUUGAAAGAGAAAUCAUGUGUGAACAUGGCUCUGUGGGCAACACAGGAUUGCCUUUCUGAGUGGGCUACAUAGCUGCCAAUAUGGAAUAAUAUGCUUACUGCCUCCAGAAGAUGGUAUGGACUGGAUUGUGCCCUCCCAAAUUCAUAUUUUGAGGUCCUCACCCCCAGUAUAUCACCAAAUGUGAUACUUGGGAGUCUUUAAAGAGAUAAUUAAAGUUAAGUUAUUAGGGUGGGCUCUAAUCCCAUGUGGCUUUAUAAGAAGAGGCAUUUUAGACACAGACACACACGAGGGAAGAUGAUGUGGAGACAUGCAGAGAAGAUGACCACACCUACA